This 372-nucleotide ribosomal RNA is filed under the name uncultured bacterium. Its description in RNAcentral is "bacterial SSU rRNA". It matches the Rfam family "Bacterial small subunit ribosomal RNA", at positions 790 to 1167 of the family's 1533-position model. The record is from RNAcentral.
GUAGUCCACGCUGUAAACGAUGAUGACUAACCGUCGGCGAUACACAGUCGGUGGCCAAGCGAAAGCGAUAAGUCAUCCACCUGGGGAGUACGACCGCAAGGUUGAAACUCAAAGGAAUUGACGGGGGCCCGCACAAGCGGAGGAACAUGUGGUUUAAUUCGAUGAUACGCGAGGAACCUUACCCGGGCUCGAACGGCAGGGGAAUGGAUCAGAGAUGGUCCAGUCUUCGGACUCCUGUCGAGGUGCUGCAUGGUUGUCGUCAGCUCGUGCUGUGAAGUGUCGGCUUAAGUGCCAUAACGAGCGCAACCCUUGCCGUCAGUUGCCAUCAGGUGAUGCUGGGGACUCUGGCGGGACUGCCACCGCAAGGUGUGA